This 446-nucleotide ribosomal RNA is filed under the name uncultured bacterium. Its description in RNAcentral is "bacterial SSU rRNA". It matches the Rfam family "Bacterial small subunit ribosomal RNA", at positions 329 to 792 of the family's 1533-position model. The record is from RNAcentral.
CGCCAGACUCCUACGGGAGGCAGCAGUGGGGAAUAUUGGACAAUGGGGGAAACCCUGAUCCAGCGACGCCGCGUGAGUGAAGAAGUAUUUCGGUACGUAAAGCUCUAUCAGCAGGAAAGAAAAUGACGGUACCUGACUAAGAAGCCCCGGCUAACUACGUGCCAGCAGCCGCGGUAAUACGUAGGGGGCAAGCGUUAUCCGGAUUUACUGGGUGUAAAGGGAGCGUAGACGGCAGCGCAAGUCUGGAGUGAAAUGCCGGGGCCCAACCCCGGAACUGCUCUGGAAACUGUGAAGCUGGAGUGCAGGAGAGGUAAGCGGAAUUCCUGGUGUAGCGGUGAAAUGCGUAGAUAUCAGGAGGAACACCGGCGGCGAAGGCGGCUUACUGGACUGUAACUGACGUUGAGGCUCGAAGGCGUGGGGAGCAAACAGGAUUAGAUACCCUGGUA